UGGAUGCUCAAGUCUGGUGGAGCUCUCUUUUUCUAUUGGGAAUCUCAUCAAUCUAAAAGAAUUGGAUCUUAGCAGUUUAUCAUGUCUAGUGGAGCUCCCUUUCUCGAUUGGAAAUGCCACCAACCUAAGGAAAUUAAACCUUGACCAAUGCUCAAGUCUGGUGGAGCUCCCUUCCUCUAUUGGGAAUCUCAUCAAUCUAAAAGAAUUGGAUCUUAGCAGUUUAUCAUGUAUGGUGGAGCUCCCUUCCUCUAUUGGGAAUCUCAUCAAUCUAAAAGAAUUGGAUCUUAGCAGUUUAUCAUGUCUAGUGGAGCUCCCUUCCUCUAUUGGGAAUGCCACUCCUCUCGACUUAUUAGAUCUCGGUGGAUGCUCAAGUCUGGUGGAGCUCCCUUUUUCUAUUGGGAAUCUCAUCAAUCUAAAAGUAUUGAAUCUUAGCAGUUUAUCAUGUCUAGUGGAGCUCCCUUUCUCGAUUGGAAAUGCCACCAACCUUGAGGAUUUAAACCUUCGCCAAUGCUCAAAUCUGGUCCAGCUCCCCUUUCUCGACUUGGAACCUUCAGAAGUUGCAGACUUUGAACUUACGAGGAUGCUCUAAGCUAGAGGUUCUUCCGGCCAACAUCAAAUUGGGAUCUCUCAGGAAAUUAAACCUUCAACAUUGCUCAAAUCUGGUAAAGCUCCCCUUUUCUAUUGGAAACCUUCAGAAGUUGCAAACUUUGACCUUACGAGGAUGCUCUAAACUAGAAGAUCUUCCAGCCAACAUCAAAUUGGAAUCUCUUUGCUUACUUGAUCUCACUGAUUGCUUGCUGUUGAAAAGGUUUCCUGAGAUCUCCACAAACGUUGAAACUCUCUAUCUCAAAGGAACCACAAUAGAAGAAGUCCCUUCAUCAAUCAAAUCUUGGUCUCGUCUCACUUACUUGCAUAUGUCAUACAGUGAAAAUCUCAUGAACUUUCCUCAUGCUUUUGACAUCAUCACAAGGCUGUACGUGACCAAUACAGAGAUACAAGAGCUUCCCCCAUGGGUCAAGAAAUUCUCUCAUUUAAGAGAACUCAUUCUCAAGGGAUGCAAAAAGCUGGUAUCACUCCCACAGAUUCCAGAUUCCAUCACUUACAUAGAUGCAGAAGAUUGUGAGUCCCUGGAGAAACUAGAUUGCUCCUUUCACGAUCCAGAGAUUCGGGUCAACUCUGCUAAGUGCUUCAAACUGAAUCAAGAAGCCAGAGACCUCAUCAUCCAGACACCAACUAGUAAUUAUGCGAUCUUACCCGGCAGAGAAGUGCCUGCAUACUUCACUCACCAAUCUGCUACUGGAGGUUCCUUGACAAUCAAGCUGAACGAGAAGCCUCUUCCUACAUCCAUGCGGUUUAAGGCUUGCAUUUUGCUGGUUCGUAAAGGUGACGAUGAAAAUGGCUGCUAUGUUAGUUGUAAAAAAAGUAGGCAUUAUUUAUAUCCACCUUUAGAAGAGCAUAUGUACGUAUUUGAAGUCAAAGCAGAUGUGACUUCCAGCGAGCUUGUCUUUGAGUUCAAGAUCGACAGUACGAAUUGGAAGAUAAAAGAAUGUGGGGUAUUCCAACUCUCGGAGGUUCCUUGAUGAAUCUUCAAAAAGUGAUGUCUGAAACACCCUUGAUGAAACUGAAGUCUGUGGUGAAGUAAUGGAGACAUUUACUAAAAAGGUAAUCUAAUAUAAAUGUUGAUAGAUUUUGUACAAUGUUAAUCUCUUCUUUGAGGAUUGAAAUAUUACUUUACUUCAGUGGGCCACAUAAGAGGUGCUGUGUAUCUGCAACUUCUGUUUUUCUUUAUCUUCUUUAAUCCUCGAUCACUAUUAUUGAUCAUUUCAACUAUUUAACUCAUCUGUGAUAAAAUGAAAAACAAUUUGAAUUUUAACAGUGUACUGUAAUUUCAUCACAUGAACAAAUGUGGGAAAUCUUUCAGGACUUUUUGUUUGUUCGAUGAGUAUUACACAAAACUGACAUUCACAUCGAUUUUUUUUAUAUAGUCCGUAACAAACUAACAACUCUUUCAAGUAUUAAGAUUAAAAACUUUCAUCUAAUUACAGUUAGGUUUUUCGUCGGACGAUCAUCAUUCUUCGAUCCUAGAAGUUACGGUGAGCAGAGUAUCAUCAAGCCGCCCAUCAGGUGAUUAAACCUGAACUCUACUCUUAUUCAGAAUUACUAAGAAGAGCUUGAAAAAAGGAAUUUUCGCGUAAUACAUUAUACAUGUAUAUCUUUCUUUCUUCAGGCUGUCACCAACGUUAUGGAACGAUCAAAAACUAUAUGCUGCAGCCGUUAUGGAACGACCAAAAACCUUCUUUGCACCAAUGAUAACUCUAAGUCAACUGUUAUAUGAAAGUAUAGAUUUUUAAAGCUUUUAAUAAAGUGCUUUGAUUGCUUUUUGUUACUGACAUGAAGAUGUUGUUCUGUUUGGGAUGUAUAGAUAGUUCAAAUAAAGGAGUUGAAACUUCUCUCAGUCUAUGGUCUAAGAUCAUGGAACAGACAUGAACAGAUAGGUAAAAAACUCCAUCAACAGUUUUUUGGCUAAGUAUCCGAGCCUUGCCUCUGCAAACCCUCUUGUUUUUCUUCAGCUCUAGAUAUAUUCUCCUAAGCACUAAGCAGGUCUGAAACUAAUCUACUGUCAAUGAGUAUACUGAUGCUUGUCGACUCAACGGAGUAUACUAACCAAGUUUUUCAAUCUUCAGUAACUAUCCAUUUCACCUGACACAAAUCCGAGUGAUUAGUGGCCUUAGAAAACACUAAACCUUGAAAUGUAUGAGGCUUUUGUAACCAAAGUCAUGCAAUACGGGGAACCAACUCCAUAGUAUUAGAUGAUACCAACACUCUAAUACGAAAAACGAAGAGAGUCCAAAACCAAAAGAGUCAUUUUAAAACAGAGGGAGAGAGAGAGUGAUAAAAAAAAAAAAGAUUCAUUUUGGUGUGAGAGGAAUAGCUGUAUCGUCUCAAUUGUUUCUUCAAAAAUGGAUAAGUCUACCAAAUCCACCGUACCAUACUAAAUCGAUUGCAUUAAAACCAAAACGAAAAAAGCUUCAGUGAAACCAGAAGAUUAAUAUGCAUUUAUAAGAAAUUUGAGUGGUGUCAAAAAAAAAAAAAAAAAAAAAAAAAAGAAAUCUGAGUAAGUAAUUUACCAAAAAAAUAAAAGAUAUCUAAGCUAAAUGGGUGAACGACCUGUGUCCCCCCAGUAAGUUUCAUAUAGUACCAUAACAACACAGAUUUCGGGUCUCGUCUCCAGUCCACACAAAACGAAAGUUAAACUCCAGUUUCCCCCUAAAUUGAAAGUUCGAGACUUCAGUCUCCAUAGUUUCAAAUUUCGUGGUUUAUCUUCGGUUUACUGUGCCGAACCCGAUUAACCGCUUAACAUCGAAAUUAAACCGGAUUUACCCAGAAACCAAGCCGAUUAUUAGACCCAUUAAACCCGAUAAUCCCAAAAUCGUAAAAUCACCAAACUUCACAAACACACACACACAAAAUUCAAUUACAAAGUGAUCAAGAAAAGAUAUCAGUGAGCUCUACUAGUAAAUUAUACCUGAGGAUAACAAAUCUGAAUCCCUCCACGCAUUGAUUUAGGAGGUUUGAAUAUAGCCUAGCAAAUUUACAACCAAAUUUAAAAAUCAGAUUUUGGAUUUUCAGCUUCUUCACAAUGUAUUUGUAGUGUCUGCAUACCUCCAUGAAAUCACUUGUCCUCCAUGUAAACUAAUCUGGAAAACCAAAAAAUCAAAAACCCAAAUUGGUUUUAAAAAAAAGCUCGAAUUAUUCAGAGAAGAAGGUUGGAGAAAAUAGUGAAGACCUUGGCAGAAGCACCAUGUGGGUUUCUGAGAAGGACUUGGUCAACGCCAUUCCAAUCUUUGAUUAUCUCACUUGCUUCUUUUUGAUCCCACACUGUUGCGUAAUGACCCAUUUUCAAUUUCUUCUUCUUCUUCUUCUUCUUCUUUGAAUUUUCAGAAUCUCAAGAACUUAUUACACUGACAAAAAAAUUCUGAUUUUUGACAGCCAAAAAAAGAGCAAAAGAUAAGAAAAACGACAAAAGAGCUUUUUCUUUCUCACAAAAAUCUCAUGAACAUGGCGAUAGAAUUAUACUAUAAGAUCGAAAUUAGGGUUCUAAGAUUUCUCAAUUUGGGGAUAACUCGAAUCGGGUUCAAAAUCGGUUUAUUAUUCUGGGUUUUGGUUUGGCAUCGGGUUCGGCACAAUAAACCGAAGAUAAACCACGAAAUUUAAAAUUAUGGAGACUGAGGUCUCGAACUUUCAAUUUAGGGGGAAACUGGAGUUUAACUUUCGUUUUGUGUGGACUGGAGACGAGACCCGAAAUCUGUGUUGUUAUGGUACUAUAUGAAACUUACUGGGGGGACACAGGUUGUUCACCGAAGCUAAAUAAGCACAUUAUCGAGAUUCGAGAUGAAGAAAAAAAUCUAUUAUAUGACCAAAAAAAAAAUUGUUUAGAAAAAACUACUAUAAAAGGAGCAAAUAAUUUAUUUUUACCUUUCUCACUUUUAGCCUUUAUCUUGUAAUUGAAAGUUAACUUUGCAAAUAUAUGAAAGAUCUAGAAGAGUUGAUAAUUUUUUAAAAUAUAUUUUUGUGUAAUUUUCUUUUUUCAUAAUUUUUUAAUUAUAAAAAUCAACUUUAAGGAAUGAAAGAUGAUUUAAUCAUAAAUGAAAAAUCUAAAAAUGUAUUACGUAGAUUUGAAAAGAGAUGAUGAUGCAACAAAGGUAUUAAUAUAAAAGGUUUUGUACAAAAACACCCUCAAAAUCAUCAAUUUUUGUAACUUUACCCUCUACCUCCGAAGAAUGCAGAAUAAUCAUAUGAAGUCAAAAAUAAUACGCAAUAUAGCCCUUAUAAAUAUACUAUAAAAGUUUUCACGAUCACAUAAAUUUGGUUUUUCAAAUUUUAAGGGUAGAGUUGAAAUCCUCGUUUUGAGGGCUUCAAUUUGAUCUAUUAUUUAUCAAAAUUUAAAAAACUAGAGAACAGCGAAAAGGGGUUAUAUUGUGUAUUAUUUUUUGCUUCAUAUGAUUAUUCUACAUUUUUUAGAGGUUGAAGGUAAAAUUGCAAAAAUUGGCGACUUUGAAGGGUUUUGCACGAAACCCUAAUAUAAAUGACUUGUUGUAUUUCAUGAUAAUUAAUCAAAUGAAUUAAAAUAUCCCCUAAUAAUAUUGAUAUAUCAUGGUUUUUACGGUUAUUUAACCAUGAUAUAGGUAUUAUUAUUAGAGUAUUUUUGUUAUUUCUAGAGUCUUUUCUAGUGUUUUUCAGGUUUAUGCAUGCACAGGACCAAUUUGGAGAUUAUGGAUAAUUCUAGAGCAAAAACGAGAUGUUAUGAUGAUACAAGAGCAGUCCGGAGACCAAUCUUGGUGUAUGUGUCGAUCGACACCAAUAUCUAACGGCAAUUCGAUCUCGUAUGUUUUUGAAGUUUUGAAUAUUUGCAGAAUCAUCCCAAAAUUUUUCUCUAUUUUCAAAGAAGUCUCUACACGUUUUAAGACAAUAUAAAUAUGGGAAAGUUACCAGAUUAACCCAAAUUAUGAGUUUAAUUACUAGAAUGUCUCAAAAAAUUUGGGGGUUAAAUGAGUUAUUUUCAUGACCAUAAUACCUUUUCUCUCUUUGUUAGGAAUAAAAAAAGUCAAAAUUACCCUUAAAUAUAUUUUAAAAACGUGGAGAAAAAAUAUUUGAAAAAUCUGCUGGGUUAGUUGUGACAAGUUUAUUUUCCAUGACAGAUUUAUUUUUCUAUGACAGAUUUUUUGCAUCAGAUUUUUUUUUCUCCUAUAGACUUACUUAAAAUAGGUUACGACAAAUAUUUAAUUUGUAGCAGAUUUUUUUGUCACGCCAGACUUAUUUUAUGAUGACACCACAGACUUUUGUAAUUUUGACAGAUUUAUUAAAAUGUGUGGCAAUAUUAUUGUUUUAGUGGCGUCAGACUUAUAUUUUUCGGUAAAAAUCUGUCAUAAUGUAGCUAAUAAAAAAAUAAUUACUAGUUUGACUUAUUAGUGAUAACAGAUUUAUUUUAUGUUAUGACAAUUUUUUUUCCUAACAAAAAAUCUGGAGUGUGAUAGCAGAUUUGUUAUAUAAAAAUAUAAAUUGCUAGAAUGACAUAUACUCACAACCGAAAUGUUUUAUGUUAUGACAAAUUUUUUUUAUAUUACAACAGAAUUCAGAUAGGCUAUAAAAAAAUAUGUCGUAUGAUGGCAGUUUUAUUGAUGAAAAUAGAAUUUUAAUCUGCACAAUAAGGUAAUAAGAGACAUAUUCUUAUCUCGACAGACUUAUUUAUAAUAGAUGGCUCAUGUGUGGCUGUCUCCUUGUUAAUAUAUGAUAAAGAUUAUUUUUUUCUUUUGUUAUAUAUUUUGUUCUUUUUAAUAUAUAUAUAUAUAUAAUAUAUAUAUAUUUGUUUUUUUCGUUUUAUAUUUUUUUUUCGUUUUUUUUUAUUUAUUUUUUUUUUUUUUCAUUUUAUAUUUUUUUGUCAUUUUGUAUUUUUUUCUAAUUUUCUAUUUAAUUUAGUUAUUAUAUGUUAAUUAUUUUAUUUUAAUUGAAUUGAAAAUAAAAUAGGUAUUUGUCUUUUUUUUCGUUUUUUAUUUUUUAAUGUUUUUUCAAUUUAUAUAUAUUUUGUUUGUUUUGUAUUUUUUUUUGUUUUUUUCUCAAUUUUCUUUUUUUCGUUAUAUAAUUUUUGUUUUUGUAUUUUUUAAUUUUCUAUUUAAUUUAAUUAUUAUAUGUUAAUUAUAUUAUUUAAAUAGAAUUGAAAAUAAAAUGGUAUUUGGUCUUUUAACACAAAAAUUGUGUUAUUCUAGUAAACCACAAUAUUUGGGUGUUAAUCUAGUUAUUUUUCUCUAGAUUUGGGUCAAACUAGGUAAUUUUCAGUAUAAAUAUAUUCUUAAGGUUAUUGUUUAGACCUAAGCUUUAUUUUUAUUUUGUUCUUGGACGUAAACCCUGUGGAGCUCCCUCCAGAAAAGAUGCUUCAACACUCUAUUCUCUUCUUGUUUUCUUACAAGAUUCCUACUUUAAAACAUGUUUUGUUCUUCGAUAAUCAUGUCUGAGUAGUCCUUGUUUGGUUUAGGGAUUCUCAAUAGGGAUUUGGAUGAAUUAGUAGAUCGAUAACCUGUUAGUAAAAUAAAUCUCUAGAGUUCUUCAUCUUUGAUUGUUCUUAAUGCUAGUUCUAGAGUAAUUAACUAUAACUUGAUCUUAGGAUAAUAGGUUAGACACGAGAGUGCGCUUAUUACUAGAACUAUCUUAGGUGGGCAGAAGUAGUUAGAUACAGACGAGAGUUGGUCUAGAUACUUUUGUGAACAUAUCGAACCUGAUCUUAAUGCUUUCUUAGUUUUAGGGAUUUAAUUUACAGACGAGAGUUGGAAUUUCUGCUAUUAAGCAUAGAUAGUCAAUUCAGACGAGAGUUGGUUGAUUAUAGUUUUUUUAUUUGAGUUCUAAGAACGGUUCUUUAAUAAUUCCAAUAAUUCCUAACUAAUUGCUAGAUCUACUAUUCUAAUAUUUCCUGAGAAAUCCCUUAGCCUAACGUUUCAUCUAUCUGUUUUACAACUUAUUUUUAAAGGUUUUUUUUUGUAUUUUAAUUUACUUAAUUUUCUGUUUAGCUUAAUUCAAAACAUGUUAGUCUAUUGUGUGAACAACGAGAGCUUUGUGGAAUUCGACCCUAAAAUGCUAUACAUGAUCUCUUUAUUUGACAGAGUAGUCUUAGGUUAAUUUGACUCAUAUCAAAUAUAAAUCUACAAUAUUUAAAAACGCAACUCAUCCAAAAAUAUGAUGAUUACAACAAAAUAUAAAUCAGAACUACUACCAAAAAAAUAUAUAUAUAAAUCAGAACUUUGUAUUUUUUUUUCCGAAUAACUAUUUAUACUACUUCCUAACCACUCGGUAUUUGGUCUACCUGAUACAAAUGUUUUCCUUGUUUAUGCGAAUAGCUUUCAACAUUACUUGAAAUGCCCUGACCAUCACACCUCUCUUAAUGGGUCCACGUCCUCUCUCGGCCGGUCCGCUACGUCCAGGAGGCUUUAAAGACUUGUUUACCGUUCCUACAAAUUACCACAUGAUCUUUUCUUGUGUUUUGUCCUCACUCACACAGUUCUGACAAUCACUUCCGAGAAGGUCACCCAUCCUGAAAUUGCACGCUUAACUGUGGAGUUCUCUCAGGGCAGUUGACCGAAAAGAUAAGUGCACUUUGGUGACAUAGGUGGUCAAAUCAACUCUUUUAACACCACAUUCUUGAAACCAGGGUGUUACAUUACUUGAAAGGAAUCAUGGCCACAUUGAUAUAGUAAUUUCGAUUGGAAAAGUUACCCAUUAACUUGUUAAUCGGUUAGUGGGGAUGUCGUACAUGCAAAACGGUUCAUUAGAGAUUCGAAUGUUGCACGGAGAACUGAAAUGUGGAAUCAUUGUUUGUGGGAGCUGUUCAUCAUAAUUGUAUAUGUUGUAGGUAAUUGAUUAUCAUCGUAAUAGGAUAAGCUCAAAUAUCUAUAAUGAUAAUGUAAUAGAUGGUUAAAAAAAAAUUUGGUAUUUGUUAUGAGAAAAAGAAAAAGAUAUAUUAAAAAUCUUGUAAAUAAAAGGAGACUUUUCUUAUGAGAAACCUCAAUGAUACAGAUUUGAAUUUUCUUUGAAAUUUGAUGAAAAUUUCAUAAGAUAAAAAUGAGCUCUGUUUUUACUAGUAAUUUCUCAAACAAAUAUGUUGUAAUGUUAUAUUGCUCGAACUCAAGAAAAUUUGGUUUAUAGCAUACUUUUUCAUCUUUUUAAAAGUAAUAUAAAAAAUUAGGUAACUCGUAAGAUUUCGCCUCUGAUAUUAGCUGUAUCGUAAUCAUCAAAUAAACGUAACCGUAUUUAACCGUAACCGUUGUAACUGUAACCAUAUUUAACCGUAUAUAUAAUGGUUAAAGUUACGGUUAAAAAAGUUUAUAAUCGUAACCGGUGAUUAAUUAACCGUAAUCGUAAUAACCGUAACCGUGGUCAUACCUAGAAAAUUGUAGAGAGAUAAUUUUAAUUUGAUACACCCUCACUUUUUCAAAGAAUGAUAUUUUGAGUUUUACACACAAUUUAAGAAAAAGUAAUUUAAAAUUUUUUUAAUUAUUAUUUUGUUAGUUUAAUAAUAUUAGUACUUCUCACCUUUAUCUAUUAGUCGCAAACAAAAACAAUGAUGAUGUUUUUACAAAACAUCAAUCUUGGCUGAACAAGUAAAAAACUCAAAACAUCAAAUAACUAGGAACAGAGGGAGUAUAGUUUUUAUUAUUUUAAACUGUUUUUGUUUUUGUCUAAAAAAAAACUUGUUUUUGUUAUUAUGUACCGCUUUUGAUAAAUUUAUCUUGAUUGGUAACAACAGCUUUGUACAGCUUUAAAUUUUGUGACCAAUCAUAGCCAUUAUAAAUGUUGGAGAUUUGGCAUCUCUAUAUCAAAACUCGAUGUAAGUAUUUUCACAUCUUUUCUAUAAAUUUUAGAUUUUUGAUAGAGACAUUGAUUUUAGUCACUGCUUCCUUGUGUUUCCCAUUUCUGAUUUGCAUCAUAGAUUCGGAUUUCAGUUGCUAAUUUGCUUCUUUUAGAUUCAGAAUUUCAACAUUUCAUGACUUGUUCAAAAAAUCAUGUCUUUGGAUAUAAAUGCUGGAGAAGUUAGUUACCAUGUUUGUAUUGAAACUUGAUACUGCUCUUUUUCUUUUUUCUUUGGACGAAGCUUCCUUUGUCUAUUGUAGGACCAAUUAUUGACGUCUGCGAGGAAAUAGCUAGGAAUUGGGUACAUGAAAGAAAACAAGAAGCUAAAACCUCUAUUUUUGAUAGUAUAGUUUCUUUGUUAAUAUAUAUUCAUGACUUAUAUUUAGGAAAUAAAACUAUAAAUGUUGUAGAAUUGGCAUGUAUAUAUGUAUUAAAACUCGAUGCUUAUUGCUUGCUUUAUACGUUUGAUUUUUUCUAGUUAUCUGUUUUCAUAUUUUAGAUUUUCUUCAACUUUAUCUGUUAUUGCAUUCUAUACCAAAGCUAAUCCUCUUGUUUGCUAGUACAGUUUCAAAAUAUUCUCACUUUCUCGGUCAAUGGAGUCAACCUUCUUUGUUUAGUAUAAGUCUGUUUUGCAACUUCUUCAUCCGCAUAGCUCUCUUUAAAGCUCUCUGAUAUUAUUAAUCCUCUCUCCAAUAAUAUAUACUAACUAAUGGAUUCUUCUUCUUCUUUUAUCCUUACCACUGUUGCUGCUGCAAUAGGCUUCUUCACGCUUCUUAGAAAUCUCAGAUGCCAUCAAGAAGAUGACAAAGAAAAUAAUUCUUCUUCUUCUACUUCAUCACCUCCGUCUUCUUCAUCGUCUUUGUCUCCUCCAUCGUCUUUGGAUCGCAUCUGGACACACCAUGUGUUUCCAAGUUUUCGAGGGGAAUAUGUCCGUAGAGACUUUCUUAGUCACAUUCAGAUGGAGUUUCAAAGAAUGGGAAUCACACCAUUCAUUGAUAAUGAGAUCGAGAGAGGACAAUCCAUCGGUCCCGAACUCAUUCGAGCAAUUAGAGAAUCCAAGAUCGCAAUUAUCUUGCUCUCAAGAAACUACGCUUCUUCGAGCUGGUGUCUUGACGAAUUGGCGGAGAUUAUGAAGUGCAGGGACGAAUUGGGUCAAACAGUUUUGGCUGUUUUCUAUAAAGUGGAUCCAUCUGAUGUAAAGAAGCUGACCGGAGAUUUUGGAAAAGUCUUCAAAAAAACAUGUGCCGGUAAAACAAAAGAGCACGUUGGGAGAUGGAGACAAGCUUUGGCAAAUGUCGCCACAAUCGCCGGUUACCAUUCGACCAACUGGUUCGUUGUCUUCCUAACAAACAUCUAACUGUAUAUAUUAAUAGCUUCUUCAAAUCACAGAAACUCAUAGUUUUUUUAAAUGUGUGUGACUUCUCCAUAAUUGUUUAAUGGAUGUAGUGAUCUUCUUUGUUGUUAGGGAUAAUGAAGCGGCCAUGAUUAAAAAAAUCGCUACUGAUAUUUCGAACUUGUUGAAUAAUUCUUCAUCAUCAAGUGAUUUCGAUGGGUUGGUUGGAAUGAGAGAACAUUUAGAGAAGAUGGAACCGUUAUUAUGUUUAGACUCAGAUGAAGUGAGGAUGAUUGGGAUUUGGGGUCCUUCUGGGAUUGGGAAGACGACCAUCGCCAGAGUUAUAUACAACAAACUCUCCGGCAGUUUUCAACUGAGUGUCUUUAUGGAAUCUAUCGAAGCAAAAUAUACAAGACCAUGUUCCGAUGACUAUAGUGCCAAGUUGCAGUUACAACAGCAGUUUAUGUCUCAAAUAACCAACCAGAGUGAUAUGAAGAUUUCUCAUUUAGGUGUUGUUCAAGAUAGGCUAAAAGACAAGAAAGUUCUUGUUGUUCUUGAUGGUGUGGACAAGUCAAUGCAACUAGAUGCCAUGGUGAAAGAAACUUGGUGGUUUGGUCCUGGGAGUCGGAUUAUUAUUACAACGCAAGAUCGAAAGCUUUUCAGGUCACAUGGGAUUAACCAUAUUUACAAGAUUGAUUUUCCAUCAACUGAAGAGGCCCUUCAAAUCUUGUGCACAUAUGCUUUUGGUCAAAACUCCCCUAAUGUCGUUUUGAAGAACUUGCUCAGGAAGUUACACAACUUGCUGGUGAACUUCCUUUGGGUCUUAGGGUUAUAGGUUCUUAUUUUCGGGGAAUGUCUAAGAUGGAGUGGAUGAAAGCACUACCAAGGUUAAGGAAUAGCCUUGAUGCUAAUAUUCUUAGCAUUUUGAAGUUCAGCUAUGAUGCCUUAGAUGAUGAAGACAAAUAUUUGUUUCUUCAUAUAGCAUGCUUCUUCAAUCAUGAAGAGAUUGAGAAAGUGGAAGAUUAUCUCGCAGAGACGUUCUUGGAUGUGAGUCAUCGGCUUAAUGUCUUAGCUGAGAAAUCUCUCAUAUCUUUGAAUAGGGGAUAUAUAAACAUGCAUGAUUUGCUAGUCAAACUAGGUAGAGAUAUUGUCCGUAAACAGUCUAUUCGUGAGCCUGGACAACGCCUAUUUUUGGUUGAUGCACGAGAAAUUUGUGAAGUACUCAAUCUUGAUGCGAACGUAAGUUUUGAAAUUUCUCUCCACAAAUCGUGUUGAUUUAAUAAGUGACCAUUUCAUAUGAUUUAUGUUCUGUUUUUCAGGGUAGUAGAAGUCUUAUGGGCAUAAAUUUCAACUUUGGUGAGGAUAGGAUCAAGGAAAAGUUACAUAUAAGUGAGAGAGCCUUUCAAGGAAUGUCUAAUCUCCAAUUCUUAAGAGUCAAAGGGAAUAACAAUACAAUACAUCUACCGCACGGUUUAGAGUAUAUAUCUCGUAAACUUCGAUUACUACACUGGACUUAUUUUCCGAUGACAUGUUUGCCUCCUAUUUUCAACACGGAGUUUCUGGUUGAACUAGACAUGUCUUACAGCAAACUUGAGAAGUUGUGGGAAGGAAUUAAAGUAAGUAAUUUUGAUUUAUUUCUUUUAGAUAUUUUAUUAAUUUCAAAUUAAUAAUUUAUCUUUUGUACAAUUUUAUUUUAAUUAAUUACCAAUAGCAUGGAAGUCUGUUUUCUAAUUAAGUGUAUAUACAUGUUCUUAUUAUUUGUAUGUAUAGCCGCUUCCAAAUCUCAAGCGGAUGGAUUUGAGUUCGUCUCUCCUCUUAAAGGAGCUUCCUGAUCUCUAUUGGAAAUCUCAUCAAUCUAAAAGAAUUGGAUCUUAGCAGUUUAUCAUGUCUAGUGGAGCUCCCUUCCUCUAUUGGAAAUCUCAUCAAUCUAAAAGAAUUGGAUCUUAGCAGUUUAUCAUGUCUAGUGGAGCUCCCUUCCUCUAUUGGGAAUCUCAUCAAUCUAAAAGAAUUGGAUCUUAGCAGUUUAUCAUGUCUAGUGGAGCUCCCUUUCUCGAUUGGAAAUGCCACCAACCUUGAGGUUUUAAACCUUCGCCAAUGCUCAAGUCUGGUAAAGCUCCCCUUUUCUAUUGGAAACCUUCAGAAGUUGCAAACUUUGACCUUACGAGGAUGCUCUAAGCUAGAAGAUCUUCCAGCCAACAUCAAAUUGGGAUCUCUCGGCGAACUUGAUCUCACUGAUUGCUUGCUGUUGA
Molecule: long non-coding RNA, 12978 nt
Filed under: Arabidopsis lyrata
Lineage: Eukaryota; Viridiplantae; Streptophyta; Magnoliopsida; Brassicales; Brassicaceae
Description: long non-coding RNA (ALYR_LNC000256)
Source: RNAcentral